UAAGGAAUAUUGGUCAAUGGACGCAAGUCUGAACCAGCCAUGCCGCGUGGAGGAUUAAGGCCCUCUGGGUUGUAAACUCCUUUUAUCUGGGAAGAAAUGUACUUUUUCUUGAGUACUUGACGGUACCAGAGGAAUAAGCACCGGCUAACUCCGUGCCAGCAGCCGCGGUAAUACGGAGGGUGCAAGCGUUAUCCGGAUUCACUGGGUUUAAAGGGUGCGUAGGUGGGCAGGUAAGUCAGUGGUGAAAUCUCCGGGCUUAACCCGGAAACUGCCGUUGAUACUAUUUGUCUUGAAUAUUGUGGAGGUAAGCGGAAUAUGUCAUGUAGCGGUGAAAUGCUUAGAUAUGACAUAGAACACCAAUUGCGAAGGCAGCUUACUACACAAUCAUUGACGCUGAGGCACGAAAGCGUGGGUAUCAAACA
This 422-nucleotide ribosomal RNA is filed under the name uncultured bacterium. RNAcentral's name for it is "bacterial SSU rRNA". It matches the Rfam family "Bacterial small subunit ribosomal RNA", at positions 355 to 774 of the family's 1533-position model. The record is from RNAcentral.